GUCUUGGAUUUUGAUUCUAAUG
RNAcentral lists this small nuclear RNA (22 nucleotides) under Arabidopsis thaliana (thale cress). RNAcentral describes it as "snRNA_10861". Lineage: Eukaryota; Viridiplantae; Streptophyta; Magnoliopsida; Brassicales; Brassicaceae. The record is from RNAcentral.